Molecule: ribosomal RNA, 253 nt
Filed under: uncultured bacterium
Lineage: Bacteria
Description: partial 16S ribosomal RNA
Rfam family: Bacterial small subunit ribosomal RNA
Source: RNAcentral
UACGUAGGGUGCGAGCGUUAAUCGGAAUUACUGGGCGUAAAGCGUGCGCAGGCGGUUUUGUAAGCCAGAUGUGAAAUCCCCGGGCUCAACCUGGGAAUGGCAUUUGGGACUGCAAGGCUGGAGUUUGGCAGAGGAGACUGGAAUUCCCGGUGUAGCAGUGAAAUGCGUAGAUAUCGGGAGGAAUACCAGUGGCGAAGGCGGCGACCUGGGCUGACACUGACGCUGAGGUUCGAAAGCGUGGGGAGCAAACAGG